This 75-nucleotide transfer RNA is filed under the name Candidatus Iainarchaeum sp. RNAcentral describes it as "tRNA-Pro". It matches the Rfam family "tRNA". Rfam says of the family: Transfer RNA (tRNA) molecules are approximately 80 nucleotides in length. The record is from RNAcentral. Lineage: Archaea; Nanobdellati; Candidatus Iainarchaeota; Candidatus Iainarchaeia; Candidatus Iainarchaeales; Candidatus Iainarchaeaceae.
GGGGCGGUAGUAUAGCUUGGUCUAGUAUUCGGCGUUCGGGGCGCUGUGACGGGGGUUCAAAUCCUCCCCGUCCCA